Molecule: ribosomal RNA, 747 nt
Filed under: uncultured cyanobacterium
Lineage: Bacteria; Bacillati; Cyanobacteriota
Description: bacterial SSU rRNA
Rfam family: Bacterial small subunit ribosomal RNA
Source: RNAcentral
AGAGUUUGAUCCUGGCUCAGGAUGAACGCUGGCGGUCUGCUUAACACAUGCAAGUCGAACGCACCUUUCGGGGUGAGUGGCGGACGGGUGAGUAACGCGUGAGAAUCUGCCUAGAGGUCGGGGACAACCAUUGGAAACGAUGGCUAAUACCAGAUAUGCCUUACGGGGUGAAAGAUUAAUCGCCUUUAGAAGAGCUCGCGUCUGAUUAGCUAGUUGGUAGGGUAAAAGCCUACCAAGGCAUCGAUCAGUAGCUGGUCUGAGAGGAUGACCAGCCACACUGGGACUGAGACACGGCCCAGACUCCUACGGGAGGCAGCAGUGGGGAAUUUUCCGCAAUGGGCGAAAGCCUGACGGAGCAAGAUCGCGUGAGGGAGGAAGGCUCUUGGGUUGUAAACCUCUUUUGUCAGGGAAGAACACAAUGACGGUACCUGACGAAUCAGCAUCGGCUAACUCCGUGCCAGCAGCCGCGGUAAUACGGAGGAUGCAAGCGUUAUCCGGAAUUAUUGGGCGUAAAGCGUCCGCAGGUGGCUAAUCAAGUCUGCGGUCAAAGACCGGGGCUUAACCCUGGAAAGGCCGUGGAAACUGAUAAAGCUAGAGUACCGUAGGGGUAGAGGGAAUUCCCGGUGUAGCGGUGAAAUGCGUAGAGAUCGGGAAGAACAUCGGUGGCGAAAGCGCUCUACUGGGCCACAACUGACACUCAGGGACGAAAGCUAGGGGAGCGAAUGGGAUUAGAUACCCCGGUAGUCC